Molecule: ribosomal RNA, 477 nt
Filed under: uncultured bacterium
Lineage: Bacteria
Description: partial 16S ribosomal RNA
Rfam family: Bacterial small subunit ribosomal RNA
Source: RNAcentral
GAUGAACGCUGGCGGCGUGCCUAAUACAUGCAAGUCGAGCGAACAGACGAGGCGCUUGCUCCUCUGACGUUAGCGGCGGACGGGUGAGUAACACGUGGAUAACCUACUUAUAAGACUGGGAUAACUUCGGGAAACCGGCGCUAAUACCGGAUAAUAUAUUGAACCGCAUGGUUCAAUAGUGAAAGACGGUUUUGCUGGCGCUUGUAGCUGGAUCCGCGCCGCAUUAGCUAGUUGGUGAGGUAGCGGCUUACCAAGGCAAUGACGCGUAGCCGGCCUGAGAGGGUGACCGGCCACAGUGGGACUGAGAGAGGGCCCAGACUCCUACGGGAGGGAGUAGUGGGGAAUAUUGCACAAUGGGCGGAAGCCUGAGGCAGCAACGCCGCGUGCGGGAUGACGGCCUUCGGGUUGUAAACCGCUUUAGCAGGUGACGAAGCGUGAGUGACGGUAAUGGGUAAAGAAGCACCGGCUAACUACGUG